AAAAUGCGAUACGCAAUGCGAAUUGCAGAAUUCCGCGAAUCAUCAGAUCCUUGAACGCAACUGGCGCUGGAGGGCUCUCCUUCCAGCAUGCCUGUUUCAGUGUCUGAAAACAUCCACAAAAAUAUCAUAAUGUGUUUGAUGAUGUAUAUAUAGCAAUAUAUUAUACAAAAUCUUACAUUAAAGAUGUAUUGCGUGGGCCGUCGGGUCCCCAUCGAAUUGGUCACUGACACUUCAGUGAUUUCGAAGGUGGAUAAUUACAAACCGAUGUUUGCCAACUAUACGCAAUAGAAAUCAUAAAAACAACUUCAACAUCUGCAUCUGAAAUCAGGCAAGAACACCCGCUGAACUUAA
RNAcentral lists this unclassified non-coding RNA (351 nucleotides) under uncultured fungus. Its description in RNAcentral is "sequence contains ITS1". The stretch from base 1 to 105 matches the Rfam family "5.8S ribosomal RNA", at positions 50 to 154 of the family's 154-position model. The record is from RNAcentral. Lineage: Eukaryota; Fungi.